RNAcentral lists this long non-coding RNA (1924 nucleotides) under Mytilus galloprovincialis (Mediterranean mussel). Lineage: Eukaryota; Metazoa; Mollusca; Bivalvia; Mytilida; Mytilidae. The record is from RNAcentral.
UCCUAUAACAAUCAUUUAUUGCACUUCGUUGUUUGUCAUGAACAAUUUUUAAUUUUUAACUAUAGCAAUAAUUUGUUGUCAAUCAUCAACAGCAUGCUUCAAUUUAUAAUCUAUAUCUCAUUUCAAAGGCACUUUUGGGUCACCAGUUUUGCAAAAAAAAAAUCUAUUAUUCCCAACAAAAACAAACAAAACAAAUACAAACUAUCAAUUAUACAUACACCAUAAUAUAAUAUAUACAGACGGAUAAUAACUUAAUGUCCCCUCCACUACAGCUGGGGCAUAAAAAUUGUAGUAAAGUAAGUGAGAUUAAAAUAUAUACUAUAAGAAUCAUUUAUUGCACUUCGUUGUUUGUCAUGAACAAUUUUUAACUAUAGCAAUAAUUUGCUGUCAACCAUUAACAGCAUGCUUCAAUUUAUAAUCUUAUCUCAUUUCAAAGGCACUUCUGCGUCACCAGUUUUACAAGAAAAAAAUCUAUCAUUCCCAACAAAAACAAACAAAACAAAUAUACAAACUCUUAAUCAUACAUAUACCAUAAUAUAAUAUAUACUAUGAAUAAACAAUUAAAAUAAUCAUGACUCAUAUAAUAUAAGUUGGAAAUACAACAUUGACUGUGACAGUUACACACAACCAAAUCUAUGUUGUCUUUGAUUGUGAAACUAUUUUGUUUUGAUAUUGAACGAAUAAAGUUUCAUUGCUUCAUUUAAAAAAAAAUUGGCAGGAAAUCAAUUAUUUAUGACAAUUUUCUGAAGAAAUUUCAAUCAUUUCAUGAUAUUUAGAUUUGGUUUCCAGACAACAUGACAGUUCAUUAUUUUUUUUUCUCCUACAGAUUGUAUAUCAAAACUGGGCUCCAUAUACUGUACUUAAUUUAGACUUAAAAUCAGUAAACUUAAUCCAAAAAGAAGACAUAGUUUUAAUAGUUCGGGGGAAAACGUUAAAACCUAGAAAAUAAAGUAAUAAGAUAUAAAUGCACUAAGAAAAAAUCUUACCAACUGGCAACACAAAUGUUUACUUAUUUAAAGGAAUCAUAAAGAGCUGCCAUUAAUUAUUUACAAUCAUUGAGCAGUUAAUUAGGAUAUUUUUUCUUAUGUUUUGAUUGAUGAAUUGUUUAGCAUUAUUCACUUACAGUUAAACCUUUUUGUACAAUAUUUGGAAACAACAAAUUUUCUAAACCCUGAGCAAUCUCCAGUUUGGUAUAUUUUAAAAAUAGACAUUUGUCCACAAAUAAAGAUCUAAUGAUAAACUUAUCUUUAUGCUGUUACCCAAUACAACAAUAAGGUAGACAAGAACUUAAGUGGGUGUACAAUAGAUAAUAUUAAAAUUUCUAUUAGUUACUAGUCAGAGUAAUUAUAUUUUUCCUAUAACAUGUAUAUAAGACUAUUUUGAUAUUACCGACUUUUGACUUCAGAGUUUAUAUUUUUUUUUCAACAGGUUAUCUACUCGGAGGCAGAACAUUAUGGUACUUUAUCAAGUAAGAAGUAAAGAAAUAAAAUCAAGCUCAUAAUCAGGUCAAUUCCGUUUGAUAUUUCUUUUUAAGGUUGCUAUACCCUACUGAGUACCACAGAGUAGGAAACGGCGAGUCGGGCAUAGCAUUUCCACACCCCUGAAUUAACCUGUAGAUUUUUUUUUCAAUCUGAAGUCAAAAGUAGGUUAUAUGAAUUGUGUGUUACAGGAAUAUAAAAUUGAGAUUAUCAUAUUAGAAUUCCAUGGAUCCAAUACUAGUUGCAGGAUUUACUAAUUUUUUGGGUAUACUUUAGGUGAGCAACAAAGUCAAAUUGUUCAAUAAAAUACAAAUUGUCUAUUUAUAAGAAUCACAAAAUUAAUUAUCAACAAAAUAUACAAUCUUUUUUUCAAUCCACUAUUCUAUAAAGCACAAACAUAUCAAAAUAUUAUAAAUACACAAUAUAGAAUUGUCAUACAAAAGGUC